UACGGGGGGGCAAGCGUUGUUCGGAAUUACUGGGCGUAAAGGGCUCGUAGGCGGCCAACUAAGUCAGACGUGAAAUCCCUCGGCUUAACCGGGGAACUGCGUCUGAUACUGGAUGGCUUGAGGUUGGGAGAGGGAUGCGGAAUUCCAGGUGUAGCGGUGAAAUGCGUAGAUAUCUGGAGGAACACCGGUGGCGAAGGCGGCAUCCUGGACCAAUUCUGACGCUGAGGCACGAAAGCGUGGGGAGCAAACAGG
This 252-nucleotide ribosomal RNA is filed under the name uncultured bacterium. RNAcentral's name for it is "partial 16S ribosomal RNA". It matches the Rfam family "Bacterial small subunit ribosomal RNA", at positions 524 to 776 of the family's 1533-position model. The record is from RNAcentral.